This 29-nucleotide small RNA is filed under the name Bombyx mori (domestic silkworm). RNAcentral describes it as "ovarian small RNA-18686". The record is from RNAcentral. Lineage: Eukaryota; Metazoa; Arthropoda; Insecta; Lepidoptera; Bombycidae.
UAACCAAGAACCUUCUGGUAGCAAAUCGU